This 666-nucleotide ribosomal RNA is filed under the name uncultured Bacilli bacterium. Its description in RNAcentral is "bacterial SSU rRNA". It matches the Rfam family "Bacterial small subunit ribosomal RNA", at positions 85 to 737 of the family's 1533-position model. Lineage: Bacteria; Bacillati; Bacillota; Bacilli. The record is from RNAcentral.
CCUUAGGUCAGCGGCGGACGGGUGAGUAACACGUGGUAACCUGCCUGUAAGACUGGGAUAACUCCGGGAAACCGGGGCUAAUACCGGAUGCUUGAUUGAGCCGCAUGGUUCAAUUAUAAAAGGUGGCUUUCAGCUACCACUUACAGAUGGACCCGCGGCGCAUUAGCUAGUUGGUGAGGUAACGGCUCACCAAGGCGACGAUGCGUAGCCGACCUGAGAGGGUGAUCGGCCACACUGGGACUGAGACACGGCCCAGACUCCUACGGGAGGCAGCAGUAGGGAAUCUUCCGCAAUGGACGAAAGUCUGACGGAGCAACGCCGCGUGAGUGAUGAAGGUUUUCGGAUCGUAAAACUCUGUUGUUAGGGAAGAACAAGUACCGUUCGAAUAGGGCGGCACCUUGACGGUACCUAACCAGAAAGCCACGGCUAACUACGUGCCAGCAGCCGCGGUAAUACGUAGGUGGCAAGCGUUGUCCGGAAUUAUUGGGCGUAAAGCGCGCGCAGGCGGUUUCUUAAGUCUGAUGUGAAAGCCCCCGGCUCAACCGGGGAGGGUCAUUGGAAACUGGGGAACUUGAGUGCAGAAGAGGAGAGUGGAUUCCACGUGUAGCGGUGAAAUGCGUAGAGAUGUGGAGGAACACCAGUGGCGAAGGCGACUCUCUGGUCUGU